RNAcentral lists this long non-coding RNA (235 nucleotides) under Mytilus galloprovincialis (Mediterranean mussel). Lineage: Eukaryota; Metazoa; Mollusca; Bivalvia; Mytilida; Mytilidae. The record is from RNAcentral.
CAUUUGACCAUGCAGAUGUAAGAAAUGAUACUUCAAGCAAUGAAACAACGAAUUAAAUGUGCCACUUUAAUUACGACUGAUAACCUAAAAAUGAAUCAUGCAUGCAUUUUUAGCAGACUUAACCAGGUCGGCGAUAAGAUAUCGAAUAUAAAAAAAGAAGAUAUCGGGUUUGGUGUCAAUGAGACAACUAUCUGCAAGAAACCAAAAUAACACAGAAAUACAAACUAUGGCUCAC